RNAcentral lists this unclassified non-coding RNA (55 nucleotides) under synthetic construct. The record is from RNAcentral.
GGGCCAUACCUCUUGGGCCUGGUUAGUACCUCUUCGGUGGGAAUACCAGGUGCCC